GUCAGUCGAUCAGCAGGGCUCUAAAUUUGACUUUCCCACAGUGAGACAACAGACUGAGCCGCACAUCAUUUUAACCCCUUCAGAGCCGCUGAGCACGCAAGUCUUCAUUCAUGGACUGAGAGUGUUUGAAGAUUCAUCCACUAAACAUCAUCAGAAAUGAAGGAAACUUUACAUGACACUAGAUAUGGAUGUCUAAGAGUGGGAUAUGUGUGGAAGGAGAAGUCUGUGUGCUCCUGCGUGUGUGCACGGGUGAGAAUCUGCGUCCAUG
Molecule: non-coding RNA, 268 nt
Organism: Xyrichtys novacula (pearly razorfish)
Lineage: Eukaryota; Metazoa; Chordata; Actinopteri; Labriformes; Labridae
Source: the annotation of a GenBank genome assembly